GGCUCCGUGGCCGGGGGUGCCGGCGGCGCGGUCGCCGGGACCGCGGCGAGGGCCUCCACCGGGUCGAUCCGGCCGAAGCCG
This 81-nucleotide transfer RNA is filed under the name Couchioplanes azureus. Its description in RNAcentral is "Couchioplanes caeruleus subsp. azureus tRNA-Arg". The record is from RNAcentral. Lineage: Bacteria; Bacillati; Actinomycetota; Actinomycetes; Micromonosporales; Micromonosporaceae.